Non-coding RNA from Oryctolagus cuniculus (rabbit), 1633 nucleotides. The record is from RefSeq and is a predicted model, not a curated record. NCBI's taxonomy places the organism in Eukaryota, Metazoa, Chordata, Mammalia, Lagomorpha, Leporidae.
UCAGUGAAUAAAGGGAUGAAUUAGUAACCAAGAGUUCAGGCAUUCACGUGGAAUUUAUUUUUGAGCAAGAGGCCUCCCGGUGUUACCUAAAUCUUACCUCACAAAUGACUACUUACUCCACCUGGCCUCACCCCACCAAGUAAAUGGUAGGGAAAGGGAUGAUUUUGGCAUUUGACUACUGUUUUUCCAUUUUGGGCACUCUUAAGUAAAUUGGUUUGCAACAACUAGGGGAGGGCUCAGGUUGAAGAAUGAAGCAAUAGUGAAUGAGUGGUAGGCACCCGAGCACAUCGGACCAGAGACCACUGAGUGUCUCAGCCCGGGUGCCUCUGUAUCCAGCUGGUAUCUGUGUUCCCCUCCCAAACACACAGGCAAGCCUCAGAUGCCAGGCAGAACACAGCUCCCAGUUUCCCUAGUCUUCGUGAAAAGUUGGAAGGUAUAGUUUUCCAUUGGCCGAUCUGUAAGGUAAUAACAAGAUGCUAUGUUCGUCACUCAGGUACAGGAGAGACAGAAGGGAAGAUGGUCUGAGACUGACCACAAAGGGGAAGAAAGGUGACCUUGAAGAAGGCCGCUUCCUUCCAAGGGCUCAUCCUCCUGCCUGGUAGGCAGUCCAGCCUGGAGCGUCCCAAUCUCCAAGUCUACCCUUGUCGCAUUCUUGCUGUCUGUCACCCACGUGCAGCUGCGUGGAGGUGACGCACGACCCCCUGCUGUCUCUGUGUAAACCGAAAGUGCCAUUCUGAGCACUCCCUCCCAGCUAGAAUCCGGUGCUCUCAUUUUACAGCUCUCAGCCCUAUCAACUGUUUUCAUCUCAACGUGAUUUUACGCCCGUAGCUUGGACCUGGUGCUUUGCACUUCGAGACGCAGUACCUGGAGAGUGUUUAUGCCUCACUAACAUUUCCAAACUACACCAUCAAAAAAAUAAGUCGAGGAAAAACAGUUUAGCUUGGUUUAGCAUCUGCCGCUUUCUAAAGAGGACAAGGACUUCUUUCCACCCCGGCACGGCCCUUUGAGCGGGGCGGUGCUGCUCUCCACAUUUUAUGGCUGAGGCAAGUGAGGCGCUGGAGAGUUAAAAAACGUACCCAAGGUGACGUGCCGGGUUUACGUGAGUAACAGGACGCAAACAGAACGCAGCUGGGGAGCCAGGCACAGCGGACAGCAAGGCAAAGGAUCCCCACUUCCUGCAACCUGAGAAAUGGAGACAGUGCCCCUGGCAGAAGACGCAGCCCUGCGCUUCCUCUCCUUCUCGCCAGCGCCCUCCCGGCUCCAGACUUGAAGCAUCAUAGGAUUUUUUUUUUUCAACAGGACCCCUUUUAUUCUGCUUGGAACCAAUUUUAUAAAAAAAAAAAAAAACACUUUUCCUGGAGGUUUUAGAACCAGCAGCUGUUGCCAGGGUCAGCCAACAAUGAUGUUCAAGCCGUAGCCUCCCUUCACCCCUAGGGGAGAGGGCAGGGUGGACAGUGACUCAUCAGAACCGGGAGGUGGGGAGAGCUGGGCAGCGUGACCCCGGGUGUUUGUCUGAGGUUCCCAGUCCUGUCCUCCACGGAGCGAUGAGCAGAGGCCAAAGCUGUGGCCUGCGCCCUAGCCCCAAAGGGGCUUCCUCCUAGACCUGAGGCUUGGAUAGAAUCCCAGCUUUAAA